Molecule: ribosomal RNA, 1169 nt
Filed under: Salmonella enterica
Lineage: Bacteria; Pseudomonadati; Pseudomonadota; Gammaproteobacteria; Enterobacterales; Enterobacteriaceae
Also listed under: 1 other name
Description: partial 23S ribosomal RNA
Rfam family: Bacterial large subunit ribosomal RNA
Source: RNAcentral
UGGAGCUGAAGUCAGUCGAAGAUACCAGCUGGCUGCAACUGUUUAUUAAAAACACAGCACUGUGCAAACACGAAAGUGGACGUAUACGGUGUGACGCCUGCCCGGUGCCGGAAGGUUAAUUGAUGGGGUCAGCGCAAGCGAAGCUCCUGAUCGAAGCCCCGGUAAACGGCGGCCGUAACUAUAACGGUCCUAAGGUAGCGAAAUUCCUUGUCGGGUAAGUUCCGACCUGCACGAAUGGCGUAAUGAUGGCCAGGCUGUCUCCACCCGGGACUCAGUGAAAUUGAACUCGCUGUGAAGAUGCAGUGUACCCGCGGCAAGACGGAAAGACCCCGUGAACCUUUACUAUAGCUUGACACUGAACACUGGUCCUUGAUGUGCAGGAUAGGUGGGAGGCUUUGAAGUGUGGACGCCAGUCUGCAUGGAGCCAUCCUUGAAAUACCACCCUUUAAUGGCUGGUGUUCUAACGUGGGCCCGUGAACCGGGUUGCGGACAGUGUCUGGUGGGUAGUUUGACUGGGGCGGUCUCCUCCUAAAGAGUAACGGAGGAGCACGAAGGUUGGCUAAUCCUGGUCGGACAUCAGGAGGUUAGUGCAAUGGCAUAAGCCAGCUUGACUGCGAGCGUGACGGCGCGAGCAGGUGCGAAAGCAGGUCAUAGUGAUCCGGUGGUUCUGAAUGGAAGGGCCAUCGCUCAACGGAUAAAAGGUACUCCGGGGAUAACAGGCUGAUACCGCCCAAGAGUUCAUAUCGACGGCGGUGUUUGGCACCUCGAUGUCGGCUCAUCACAUCCUGGGGCUGAAGUAGGUCCCAAGGGUAUGGCUGUUCGCCAUUUAAAGUGGUACGCGAGCUGGGUUUAGAACGUCGUGAGACAGUUCGGUCCCUAUCUGCCGUGGGCGCUGGAAGAUUGAGGGGGGCUGCUCCUAGUACGAGAGGACCGGAGUGGACGCAUCACUGGUGUUCGGGUUGUCAUGCCAAUGGCACUGCCCGGUAGCUACAUGCGGAAGAGAUAAGUGCUGAAAGCAUCUAAGCACGAAACUUGCCCCGAGAUGAAUCUUCCCUGAGCCUUUAAGGCUCCUGAAGGAACGUUGAAGACGACGACGUUGAUAGGCCGGGUGUGUAAGCGCAGCGAUGCGUUGAGCUAACCGGUACUAAUGAACCGUGAGGCUUAACCUU